GAAAGAAAAUUUAAGCCAUUAUGCAAUGUUAUAUGAAAGACCGUAUCAAGAGACCUAUGUUCUGAGUAUCUUGAGUGGCUUUGGAGAUAUGUUUUUAAAAGGUGUUAUGAUUUCUUUAAGAAAUUCUUUUCAAGAACUUUGUCAGUAUGUCUCCGCAGCUGGACCCUUAGAAUUGGACGUAGCAGCGCAUCCCUUCCGACCAGGAGAUUGAAUAUAUAUAAAAUCACUGAGAAGUGGAAAGGACCGUAUCGAGUCAUUUUAACAACACUUACAGCAGUAAAGGUCUGGGAGAAGAACCUUGGCUUCAUUAUUCAAGACUAAAGAAAGCACCAACAGGAAAUUGGAAGUCUAAAGAAACUGGCCCUUUGAAACUGAAAACCUGUAAAAAUCUCCCUUGUGGCCUCGACGGUGGACCUGGGUAAAUCGAAAGGAUGAUACCUGGCAAUUGCCAAGUCUUAGAACUAAAAUAAGAUGGGUAUUAAAAUCUGUAUUUUUACCCCA
Harpia harpyja (harpy eagle) is the source of this 501-nucleotide long non-coding RNA. RefSeq lists it as uncharacterized. The record is from RefSeq and is a predicted model, not a curated record. The transcript has 2 exons. NCBI's taxonomy places the organism in Eukaryota, Metazoa, Chordata, Aves, Accipitriformes, Accipitridae.